GAGGAGGUCAAAAGAGUUAGAUCACAGGUAGUCGCACAGGAGGGUAGAGGUGAAAAAAGGGGAGAUUUUGGGGUUGCGGGAAGAGGUUAGGGGGAUAGGAGUGUCGUUUACCACCACCACCCAUGUGCGCCUCCUCUCUGAAGCAGGGACACUACGGGACGGUACCGACGGGCGCGCGACCAGCGUGGGGGAGACGGAGGAGGGGGGGCAGACCCGUGGUACGCCCGUUGGGGCGCGCGGCGGCGGCCAGAGUCGAGUCGCGACUGGCCAGUGGCCCCUUCCGUGUGAAACACAAGUCACGUUAACUGCCUUAGGGGGUCACCGUUAGAAGUCCACCUUCGUUUGAGCAGAGUAAGGGGUUGAGUUGACUACAGAUGUCCUGCACUACUGAGUCGGUAUUGUACAUUUCCUAAGACAUGCUAUAGUACCUCGCAAUUUCGUCUACAAUACCUACCAGUGUAAUAGAAGUACUGUCCACUAGGUCAAUGGGACCCAACAACCCUUGGACUAUACCGACAAGUCAACUUAGGAAGACACUUUUCAUCGUUAUUUACCUGCCGACAUUAGUUCCAUGGUAUACCGCACGUAAAGUUCAUAUUAAUAAAACAAGCUCUCCCUUUUUUAAGGAGAUUACUGUAGCAUACCUCCGGACCUGGACUCACGAGGAAUAGCUAUGGAAGACAAUCGGUCUUUUUAGUACAGUAGGAACAUUUUCUAGUCACCUACCUUUGGUCACACCGUCCAUAAAGGAGAGGAAGGACCCCUAGCACCGACUACCUUCGACUAAGACAACUUCUAGUUUAACGACUCUCUCCCUUCGUACUCUCGUAACACUUUCGGGUGAGACAAUAUCUAUACCACCUGCCUCGAAGUAGACAUCCACUCGUAUAAUAUUACUCUGAAACCUUACCGUGUGGAAAUCGAAGUCAGUCAGGUAGGUAGUCACACGUACUACUAAAACGACGUCGACUAUUUAGUUUACGUUAAUUUCAUUCACAUUUGGUCGUACUCUAUUUAGUCGGACAACUCCUCGGUACCCAAAAACCUGGAUAGCAGAGUCGUUUCUUGAGACAACGUGUUCACUUUGCGUUCUUUCUGUCUUCCUUCAAAAACUUAUGCCUUUUCCUAAGUCCACUUUAUUGACUUUUGUACGGACUUGUCCUGGUCGGACACCUCCUCGGUACCAAUAAAGUCAGAACCCACUGUCGUUUGUCUCGACCACAAUAUAGUUUUGCCUUUCAUCUUCGUUUCCCAUAAUACUUUUCCAAUUUUCUUAAACUAUUUGGGAGUCGUCGAAGACUCUUCCUAUACGAGCGGUCACCACUUGGCGGUUCUCAGUAUAAUUAAUUGAGGAGAUAGACGUCAUGUGUCUCUUAACGUCAUAACCUUCUACCCUUUAAUCAACUUGAGAACGACCUCGGGUAUUUUUUGUUACAUGUAACACUGUCAUAAAUAAAUCCAUAUUAUUGUUUUGAACACGGAGUGUACCCUCCACGAAAACAGCUGUAACCUUAAAACUCUGGAAGUGAAUACUCGUAUUUCGUUUUGGCACUAGGUAAACACAUAGGAGUUUAACAGUUCCUAUAAUUUCCUCCAAGACGAUUACUAAGACCAAUAUUACUACUCUCGGAAGACUGUAUGCUACUACUACUACUACAACUACUACUAUACCGACUGUUGCUCAAACGUCUACUUCUUUUACUGCUACUAAGUAGUUGUAAAGACCGAGUCUUACAAUUCCUUUUACUUCUUCCGAACCUGUAACACAGGGUAAGAUUAUAUUUCUUCUAACUACCACGACUUAAACUUUUACAGAGACCAACCCUACUACUUUAACUACUAGUACACCUUCUACUUAUGUUACUACUAGUGAGUGGUCCUCUAGCCAGUCUCUAGACGUUACUAUAAUUCUGUAAUAGAAGGUAAGUCGUACGAAACUCCCUUAGAUUGCUACUAUGUUUACCUACAUCCACCAGAGUUCAAGCGUUCCCGUGUUUCUAGUACCAAGUUCAACAGUUCCUCCCUAACCCGUGCUUUCCAGGUUGUGACUCAGGGAAAGGUACGAAUUCUUCGGCUAAAACCUAUAACCAGAGAGCACCGUUGUUUCAACCUCAAAGUUUUUUCUAAUGACCCUAUCUUGCGUGGGCCAACUUCCCGUAAUGUUUCAAUAAUGCUGGAGGACCUAAAUGAGACUGCCGAGCAUGUCAACGGCGACCGGUAAGAACCCUCCUCAAUUUGUUCCUGGAACUAGCCAACAAUAGAUGGACCUUUCCUUAUUGACUUGUACGAGUUAGACGACGGGAUCGACGGCUCCUCCCACACCUUCCACGAUAAGGACAAUACAACAUAUCUAGUUUCCCGGUCCGAGAUAGAUAACAAGUUCUACUAAAAUUACUCUUCCAGUUCUCCAACCAACACCUAAGAGGAGCGUGGAUGGUACUCCAAUGCCCGAUAGAGGUUCUCCAACGUGGACUCGAGACGUUAGCUCAGCUGGAGAUGCUCUUUUCUUGAGGGUAUAAGCUACUUAUAUUCUAACUUUUCCUCUAGCUGUUAUAAGAGACGUUUUCCCAACACGAUGUCUUACCCCCAAGAAAUUAAUAUCUUGUCUGACUUCGAGAUCAAAGGUAACUACACUUACCACCGGUGUCAUACAAACCAGUUCCCUGCAGCGUCCUCUUCCGAUAAAAUCUACAGUUAGAACUUCGACGUUUCGUUUAACGAGCGCUCGACGCGAACUCCCUAUAACCACCGUAGUAACAACAACUAAAAUAGCUGUACUGCCUGCUAAGUUUGUUUUCUAAUCAGAUACUUCUUUACUUCUUUCGUCAUCUUUUCCUGGCGAGUUGGCAACCACAAAGUCUUAACAGUUUCGAUCCAAACUACCUUUAUUGAUCUUUUUCCCAAGCUGGUUCACAAUGAAAGUACUAGUCGCUCGGAACAGGUACAACGGUACCAUAACCAGCACAACUUCGAGAACUAUGCAGGAAAAGAUUCUAUCUUGCACUUUAGACAGCUGCGGACCGGCAGAGACCAGUAUUUAGUCUAGGUCUCUUUGGUUUUAGCACCGGUUCUAAAAACGAAUCCCACCUGGUACUCUACACGUGCAUGAACUGUAGUCCGUUUUCCUGAUUUAAUCCCUAGGAAUCAUCGAGGGAGUUUCAAACCCAAAACAACUUCUAACGAGCUCCAAAAUGUGCCCCACGUAAACUUAACGAUGGUAUAAGACUAGUCUUCCUGUGUCUACUCGUCUUCCUUAAUAGUGGUCUCAGUGGUGAAGGUUCCCUUCGUCCUUCUGGCUCUGACAGACAAAAAGGAUAUUUCUUUACCUACUCGGCACGUUUCGCUCGGUUCACUUAUAGAACGUUUCUACUCUGCUUGAAAAAAAAGUUUCUCGACUUGACUUAGGGUCUAACUGUUCCCCACUAAAAGGCUCCCGAAACGACACAAGGUUGCCACUAGGGUUGUCGCCUAUAAGUACAAACGGACCGAUUUCAAACCUGUUGACAGGAACUAAAACAUCAACGGUGAGUCACUUCAAAUUGCACUUUACACCCUUCUAACAUCCUGCGUUACUUUAAUCUAACACACUUUCGACACCCCCGUCUCGUAUCAAUGCAUCAACAACAUAGCGGGAUCAGUCUAAAAAACAAAUAAAUAAGUUAGUAACAAUUUGCCAUUACUAUUGAGGGCUUGCAAAUCCUCAAUUCGUACCGUUGGGCUUGCCCAAAUCUACCGUUCAAUCAAACGCACUCUAAUUCUUUUGAACCGUUAAAAAACUGUUUUUCUUUCCUACUUCAACGGUAGAGGAUAGUUGAUUUUAACGGGAUAGUUGAUUUCAACGGUAGGAAAUACUUGAUUUCAACAGUACAUAUUUGACAGUACAUUUUUACAAGCCCUGCUUUACGAGUUUUAGGCUUGGCAAGCCCUCAAUAACUUAAGGAACAAUUUUGUACUUUACUAUCAUAAGCCUUGUUUCUAACAUAACUUAAGGUGCCGUCGACUGUGUAGCUUG
RNAcentral lists this ribosomal RNA (4012 nucleotides) under Triticum aestivum (bread wheat). Its description in RNAcentral is "partial small subunit ribosomal RNA". Lineage: Eukaryota; Viridiplantae; Streptophyta; Magnoliopsida; Poales; Poaceae. The record is from RNAcentral.